UUCUUCUUCUACUUUUUCUUCUCCUUUUUUUAUCUCUGAAACAACCCACGACUGGGUACUAGGAAGCCAUUGCUGGAGUUUCCUUUGCCGCCAUGCGCCAGAGCUGGAGCACUAGUGGCCGGUGACAACCCCAUCCCCAAAAUCUCAGGGCCAUCAGAGUUAAGGCACACGAACAGAGGAGUCAAAGUUUAGUCGUCAAAACUUUGACUGCGCUUUCCGGCGAGCUCAGACCUCCGUUCGGUGAGUGGGUGGCACCGUUGGAACCAGCGUGAAUGGAGGAAUGUCGCCCACUAAGUCAUUUCGGUCAACUCAUUGUUUUUCUCCGACGAGAUUUUGGGUAUCUCCGCCACUUUUUGGCGACUUUUCGGUGAGCCUGAGAACUUUUUGGACCGAUGGUUGGCAUGAGCAUGAUCUACUCGCCGACGUGGUCGUUUUGAUAUAUGCCACGCCUACCUUCGUCAACGUUUCCGAUACACUGCUCACUGCCGCCACCAACCGCUGUUGUGCUUCGCUUGGGAAAAUCGUGAUAUAUAAAUCGAAUUAAAUCACUCUAGGAUCAUCAUUAAGCUUGGGAGUGUCGCUUUGGGCUCAGAUUGAAAAUUCUAAAGAGGAUCCUAGUGACGCAAUUGUGGAUAAGGUGAAUUAUUGAUGAAGCUAAUGUGUUUAGUGCCAUAGUCCUAUCUUUUGAACAUUAUAUGCAUUUAAUUUGGAACCUAUUGGUCUGUAUAUCUAAUUUUGCUAUGUAAUAGUUAUAAAUAAGGAAUGGUGGAUGCUAAGUAUUAUUUUGGGUGUUUUAUGACUUAUUAAA
Molecule: long non-coding RNA, 808 nt
Organism: Humulus lupulus (European hop)
Lineage: Eukaryota; Viridiplantae; Streptophyta; Magnoliopsida; Rosales; Cannabaceae
Exons: 3
Source: RefSeq, a predicted model, not a curated record